This is a non-coding RNA of Paramuricea clavata, 1538 nucleotides long. The record is from the annotation of a GenBank genome assembly. NCBI's taxonomy places the organism in Eukaryota, Metazoa, Cnidaria, Anthozoa, Malacalcyonacea, Plexauridae.
AGCAUACCUCAGGAGAACAUUCCUUUAAUUAAAGUUGUUCUUGUAAGUGAAUUUUGUAUAUUUUAUAACAUCUAGAUAGAAUGUUUGUGAUGUUACUCUGAGUGUGAAUCCACUCCGGGCAAGCUGAAAAGUUAGCUUGGCCACGGUGGGAAUUGAACCUGCGAUCUUUGGGAUACUAGUCCAAUGCUCUGCCAAAUAAGCUACAUGGUCAAGUCGGUUCGAGUUGAUGAUAUUUCGGAACUGAGUCUAGUUCCUUCUAUAUCAGUGUAUUCUAUAUGAUUAUUUUUUAUGUGUGUUGGUGUUAUGUACUCAGGUGAUGUACUCAGUAUGACAAAAAAUAAUCAGACAUAUAGAAUACACUGAUAUAGAAGGAACUAGACUCAGUUCCGAAAUAUCAUCAACUCGAACCGACUUGGCACAUAGCUCAGUUGGCAGAGCAUUGGACUAGUAUCCCAAAGGUCUCGGGUUCGAUUCCCACCGUGGCCAAGCUAACUUUUCAGCUUGCUCGGUGUGGAUUCACACUCAGAGUAACAUCACAAACAUCAUAUUCACUGAGUACAUAACCCCAACACACAAAAAAAAUAAUCUAGAUAGAAAUUAUGAAGUGAUGUAUAUUUUUGUAGUGUAACUACAGGAGAAGAAGUACAAUAUUUAGACAAAAGUGUAAGUUGUGCAUGAAAUGCUUAUUUCACUCAGUUAUAUAUUUCCUUGUUGCAGGAUGAUUCUGAAAUUGCUCCCAAAAUAUCAGGAUGCUCAACCCCUCGUCUAUUGGCCACUGGACCUCUGGAAGAGAUAAGUUCGAUUUCAUUGAUUGCAGAGGGAAUGGUUGUAAAAAAUUCAGAUACGAUCCGUGCAAUAUUACCAACGCAGUGGCACGUUUGCUUGCAGGGUACUACGUUUUAACAUGCAGUACCCAAAAGGGGCCAACAGGUCAUAGUAAGAACAUUUACAUGUUUUAGUAAUUUAGAACAUGUUCUUUUGGCCAAUAAUUGCCAUACCGGUACUUUACCAAUUGACGUGGAGAACUUCCUAAGCUAAAGGAUUUUAUGAACACAUUAAAUGGAACAAUUUAUGCUAAUGAAUUUAUGAUAAUAUUGUAUCACUAAUUUAAUGCAUGUAUUGUACAUGCAGGAUAUAUUGUCCCGAGGAGAGUUAUGACCCUCACAAUCAUGGGCUAUUUCUGUGAAUGUUUCUAUAUAGUAUAACUCUAAACUAUAUAUAGCUUACAAGCUUACAAUUAUAUAUAUAGCUUACAAGCUUACAAUUGUGUGAGAUAACCAUUGUUUCUUCUAUAUAUGAAGAGCUUUUUACUUUCACAAUAUAAUAUGAUGACCGCAUGACAUCAAACUCUGCUCCACUUCCACUUUACUGUUUUGCAAUUGUCGCACACUGGACCUCAAUUAUCUCAUAGAUUAUUUUAAUUAUAUAUUGUAUAUAAGACUUAUCCAUUCCUUAAGAAAAAUAUAUGAUUUUUAUCAAAGUACUGAAAUUGUUUUAAUAUUUACUAAUUUGACUUUGAGUCAAAUAUUGAUUUUAAC